GGCUGCCACCACUGUGCCUUGCCGCCGCGACUCCUCCUCUUGUGGGCUCGCGACACAGCCGACUCCCUGCUGCUGGUGCCCUAGCUCCGAACCAAGUCUUCUUCUCCUCUUCCGAGCGCCGGCAGCCGACAAGAUCCUUUGCCCUAGUGCCCUCUGCCAUUGAUCAAGUCCCCGUAGGUUGUGCUGUUUUGGUGGAUCCGGAAAUUGGGGUGUUGUGGGCUGCUCUUUGGUCCAGCAGCCACUACUUUUGGCAGUAGAUCAGUGACCCCGACUGGGAUAUUGAGGACUUUGACGCGAGACGAGUAUCUCGGAGUCAGAUUUGG
Long non-coding RNA from Zingiber officinale, 323 nucleotides. RefSeq lists it as uncharacterized. The transcript has 3 exons. Lineage: Eukaryota; Viridiplantae; Streptophyta; Magnoliopsida; Zingiberales; Zingiberaceae. The record is from RefSeq and is a predicted model, not a curated record.